RNAcentral lists this non-coding RNA (173 nucleotides) under Negativicutes bacterium. Its description in RNAcentral is "6S RNA". It matches the Rfam family "6S / SsrS RNA". From Rfam's summary of the family: E. coli 6S RNA was the first non coding RNA to be sequenced, but its function was unknown until recently. It consists of 184 nucleotides that fold into an extended hairpin structure with a large single-stranded internal bulge. The record is from RNAcentral. Lineage: Bacteria; Bacillati; Bacillota; Negativicutes.
UGUCGCCUGAGAUGCACGUUAUCUUUAAUAUGUCCAACCUACUUUUAUAAAUGGGGAAUCCAAUGUUAUGGGGCUGUCGAGCCACCGCUGAGUGGAUGACAAAAGCAUAACUAGGAUGCCCACCUGCGAGUAGCGGGUUUGGACAUAGAAAGAGACGACAUUGCGGGCUUUCC